This 343-nucleotide ribosomal RNA is filed under the name uncultured bacterium. RNAcentral's name for it is "bacterial SSU rRNA". It matches the Rfam family "Bacterial small subunit ribosomal RNA", at positions 32 to 365 of the family's 1533-position model. The record is from RNAcentral.
AAUCAACGCUGGCGGCGUGCCUCAGACAUGCAAGUCGAACGAUUAAAGCUCUCUUCGGAGAGUGCAUAGAGUGGCGCACGGGUGAGUAACACGUAAGUAAUCUACCUUCGAGUGGGGAAUAACGUCCGGAAGCGGACGCUAAUACCGCAUAAUGCAGCGGCAUCGCAAGAUGACAGUUGUUAAAGGAGCAAUUCGCUUGAAGAGGAGCUUGCGGCAGAUUAGCUAGUUGGUAAGGUAAUGGCUUACCAAGGCUACGAUCUGUAACCGGUCUAAGAGGACGGUCGGUCACACUGACACUGAAUAACGGGUCAGACUCCUACGGGAGGCAGCAGUAAGGAAUAUU